Molecule: RNA transcript, 2623 nt
Organism: Myotis myotis
Lineage: Eukaryota; Metazoa; Chordata; Mammalia; Chiroptera; Vespertilionidae
Gene name: transcription initiation factor TFIID subunit 4-like
Exons: 3
Source: RefSeq, a predicted model, not a curated record
GGGGAUCGAGCCCACAACCCCGGCAUGUGCCCUUGACCGGAAUCGAACCUGGGACCCUUUGGUCUGCAGGCCAACGCUCUAUCCACUGAGCAAAACCGGCCAGGGCUCUUAUUUCCAAUGAACCCAUGAGGGAACGGUCUUGCGUGUAGCACCUCGUGUUUUGUGGUGAGCUCUUGGCCAAGUCAGUUCACUUCGUUGGUAUUUGUCAUCUGUAAAAAGGGAGCCGUUGUUGCUGAUAUAUCCACAGGCCAGGGAACCAGAAGAAUGACAAGGUUCAAAAAGGUGACUGGCCAGGGGCAGCACGGGAGGGGCAGAGAUCAAAUUCAAACGCAGCUUCCCAACAAAAAUCUUUUUGCUCCCCCCAGCCUCGGAGGCGGAGGCGGCUCCUCAUGGCGCCAGGUGGUGCAGAGCGCCUUGGGAAGGGUGGGAUCUGUCCCAAAGAGGCAUCUGGAAAGUCAACAGAGCCAGCCGGUCUGGGACUAAACAAUCAGCAGCCGACGCGGCGUCCGCGGGGACAGAACAGCUAUUCAGACGGCGGGGGCGGGAGCGGGGGCCCAGCCGCGAAAUGUGGAGAAAGAAGCGCCUCGCACGCGUCCGCUCCGGGCCCACGCGGGUUGCCAUGGCCGCCCCGCCCCGGGCCGCGCGCGGAAUCCCGGCCUCUGGGGGCCUCGGCCGCCGGGCGUCCCCGGCUUCCUGGUCCGGUCACGUCCAGGAAGGACGAGGGGCACGUGGCGCGGACCGGCGUCCCGCGGGCAGCGGCCCCGCUCCGCGUCUGCCGGCGCCGCGUCCGGGACACGCGACACCCCGCGGGGCUGCGCCGGGCCGCGGCGGGGCGGGCCAGGGGAGCCCCGCGACCGGGACCGGCGCCCAGGUCCCUGCGGCGCCCGCCACACCCGCGUCCCGCCGCGCCCGGGACUCGGAGCUCCGCGUCCCUGCCACGCCCGUGACCCAGUGGCCGCGGGUCCGCCUCGUCCCUGACCCGAGGGUCCGCGUCUGGCUCGCAGUCGGGGUGCACGGCCUCCCACUGACCUCCUUUUCCAGCUCCGGACACUUGCUCAACUGAGAGUUCACCACCUGGGCCCGAAGCAGGGGAGGCGGCCCAAACCACCGGCCGGGGUCCGAGAGCGGUUCCCCUGCGCUCGGCUAGCGCUCCGACCCCAGCCCGGGGAGGAGCCAAUGGAGGAGCCAUGGGAGGGCAGCCUCUGGGGGAGGAGGGUGCAGAGCACCUAGGAGGCACCUGUGCGUUUUCCUGAUGAAGGAACCUUGGCGCAGAGGGAGGGGGAGGGAGAGGGGGCUGACUGGUUCAAGGUCAAGGUCCCACUGUAAGUUACAGCACCGCCGGGCCUGGAGCGCACGUUUCUGUCCGCCCAGCCCAGUGCCCUUUGUCCACACUCCCAUCCCCCGCCCGCCUGGAAUGAAACCACAUCCCCCUGGGGCUAAGGACAGCCAGGCUGUUUGCCAGCAGUGGUUUGGCUAGCGCAGGGACAUGCCAGAGAAAUGGAAGGUUUCUAAUAAAAGCUGUCUCCACAGGCCCGGAGUGUUAUAAGGCGCUCGCCCACCGGCUCCACAAACCACCUGCGCAGCCUUCCCCAACACUGGCAGCCUGGCAGCUCCAGGGGGACAGGCCUCCCCGCAGCGCUCCAACCCCACCCUGUGGUGUUUUCCCUUCUGGCACCUGGAAGGGGCAGACGUGUCCGGAGCCCGGUUUGACCUCUACAGCUGGGGGUUUUCCCUCCCUUCUCUACCUGGGUAGCGCUCGGGGCUGGGACAGCAGGAUGGGUGGUGGAUUUGAUUUUCCUGCUAUCUUAUACCUCUAGGUGAGGUUCUUCCAUGCGACCCACAGGCAGUUCUCAAACUGUGUCCCAUGGUUAUAUUUAGACAUCCCUUCAUUCUCAGUCUUCAUGGAGGGCUAAUGUAGACGUUAUCCAAACACACAAUGACAGUGUUUGAAACCACACCGAGGAGGACCCUCUGCUUAAAAGUCCACAUCACACGUAGCUUUGCCUAGAUGCCGGCCCUGCCCCCCAACAGUCCAGCGAGAACGCGGCCAGCUGCGGCUCCUGUGGUAGAUUGCAGACCUCCGCCUGGCCCAGGCUUUCUUCGGUCAGGAGAACCCAGAGGCGGAACCGAGGCCAGCUGAGAAGAUGGAUCACCGUCCACCUGUGUGUGCUGUAAUCGGACUUAUUGGGUCACUGUUUCUAUCACCUGGAGAUGACUUACUGAGGAGGCUGGAGACCUGAGUUCCCAGCUGCCUGCGGUGAGGCACCCAGAGCAGCAUGCCUUGACUCAGCAUCCAUCAGCAAGACGGGAUCUGCCUGGGCAGUAGGGGGAGGGACUGAGAGACAGCCCUCCAGGCAGACAGCAAUGAAGAUGCAAAUCCUUCAAAACCUUAGGUUGACUGGGAGGGACAACAGGGCGCAGUGGUUCCAUUUGUCCUAGGCACAAUGCCUGGCCCCUGGGAUGCUCAGAGGGUGCAAAUGUCUUCGCACAACACAAACCCAACUCAGAAUGACAACUUGCUGCAUGAAGCAUGCAGUUAAUUACAGAGUGACUAUCCAGUAAAGAUGAAGUUGGAAAAAAAUAAGUGAAGUUGAAACCUAUUGCUCUUUUUCUUUAUUAAUCU